This 75-nucleotide transfer RNA is filed under the name Salmonella enterica. RNAcentral describes it as "tRNA-Met". It matches the Rfam family "tRNA". Rfam says of the family: Transfer RNA (tRNA) molecules are approximately 80 nucleotides in length. Their secondary structure includes four short double-helical elements and three loops (D, anti-codon, and T loops). Further hydrogen bonds mediate the characteristic L-shaped molecular structure. tRNAs have two regions of fundamental functional importance: the anti-codon, which is responsible for specific mRNA codon recognition, and the 3' end, to which the tRNAs corresponding amino acid is attached (by aminoacyl-tRNA synthetases). tRNAs cope with the degeneracy of the genetic code in two manners: having more than one tRNA (with a specific anti-codon) for a particular amino acid; and 'wobble' base-pairing, i.e. permitting non-standard base-pairing at the 3rd anti-codon position. Lineage: Bacteria; Pseudomonadati; Pseudomonadota; Gammaproteobacteria; Enterobacterales; Enterobacteriaceae. The record is from RNAcentral.
GGCCCUUUAGCUCAGUGGUUAGAGCUGGUGGUUCAUAACCGCUUGUCGCUGGUUCAAAUCCAGCAAGGGCCACUA